ACUUUAAUUGAAGAGUUUGAUCAUGGCUCAGAUUGAACGCUGGCGGCAGGCCUAACACAUGCAAGUCGAGCGGGGUUUUC
This 80-nucleotide ribosomal RNA is filed under the name Rheinheimera mesophila. RNAcentral describes it as "Pararheinheimera mesophila partial 16S ribosomal RNA". It matches the Rfam family "Bacterial small subunit ribosomal RNA", at positions 1 to 76 of the family's 1533-position model. The record is from RNAcentral. Lineage: Bacteria; Pseudomonadati; Pseudomonadota; Gammaproteobacteria; Chromatiales; Chromatiaceae.